GUACUUCAUAAUGACCUCUUUGUUAGGUGGUCGUGGAGCAGACAUUGAUAUCUUAUGUGAAGCGAGAGGAUGAUUUCUUUGGGACACUACAUGACAUAUUGGCCCAAAUGGAGAAGUGACUGAACUGCAACCUGUACCUGAUGCACGUGUAGCUGUUAUGAAAUUUAAGUUCCAUGGAAUGGCAAUUGACCUUCUCUAUGCCAGUGUAUCGCUUUCAGUAAUGCCACCAGACUGGUAAGAUUCUCAAGAAGUAUGACAAGAGAACUGGGCCCACUAUCCGUCUUCCCUUCAUUCAAAAUGUGCUGCUUCAACCUUUUUUCACCA
Long non-coding RNA from Lolium rigidum, 324 nucleotides. RefSeq lists it as uncharacterized. The record is from RefSeq and is a predicted model, not a curated record. Lineage: Eukaryota; Viridiplantae; Streptophyta; Magnoliopsida; Poales; Poaceae. The transcript has 3 exons.